RNAcentral lists this non-coding RNA (25 nucleotides) under Mus musculus (house mouse). The record is from RNAcentral. Lineage: Eukaryota; Metazoa; Chordata; Mammalia; Rodentia; Muridae.
UCUCAAGAAACUGAAAACUGUGUCU